CAUGGCUCAGAUUGAACGCUGGCGGCAGGCCUAACACAUGCAAGUCGAGCGGUAGAGAGAAGCUUGCUUCUCUUGAGAGCGGCGGACGGGUGAGUAAUGCCUAGGAAUCUGCCUGGUAGUGGGGGAUAACGUUCGGAAACGGACGCUAAUACCGCAUACGUCCUACGGGAGAAAGCAGGGGACCUUCGGGCCUUGCGCUAUCAGAUGAGCCUAGGUCGGAUUAGCUAGUUGGUGAGGUAAUGGCUCACCAAGGCGACGAUCCGUAACUGGUCUGAGAGGAUGAUCAGUCACACUGGAACUGAGACACGGUCCAGACUCCUACGGGAGGCAGCAGUGGGGAAUAUUGGACAAUGGGCGAAAGCCUGAUCCAGCCAUGCCGCGUGUGUGAAGAAGGUCUUCGGAUUGUAAAGCACUUUAAGUUGGGAGGAAGGGUUGUAGA
RNAcentral lists this ribosomal RNA (439 nucleotides) under Pseudomonas sp. DJ21. Its description in RNAcentral is "bacterial SSU rRNA". It matches the Rfam family "Bacterial small subunit ribosomal RNA", at positions 18 to 459 of the family's 1533-position model. Lineage: Bacteria; Pseudomonadati; Pseudomonadota; Gammaproteobacteria; Pseudomonadales; Pseudomonadaceae. The record is from RNAcentral.